GGCUUCGUAGCACAGCUAGUAGAGCGCUUGCCUCGUUGAGGCGUGGUGUUCCUGUCACUGGUUCAAAUCCAGUCGAAACCC
Paragonimus heterotremus is the source of this 81-nucleotide non-coding RNA. The record is from the annotation of a GenBank genome assembly. Lineage: Eukaryota; Metazoa; Platyhelminthes; Trematoda; Plagiorchiida; Troglotrematidae.